AUCCAGACGACGAGUCCUAAACAGGACGAAACCCGCGUCAUAGAU
This 45-nucleotide non-coding RNA is filed under the name Trichobilharzia regenti. Lineage: Eukaryota; Metazoa; Platyhelminthes; Trematoda; Strigeidida; Schistosomatidae. The record is from RNAcentral.